RNAcentral lists this long non-coding RNA (309 nucleotides) under Salvia miltiorrhiza (redroot sage). Its description in RNAcentral is "long non-coding RNA (SMIL_LNC013067)". Lineage: Eukaryota; Viridiplantae; Streptophyta; Magnoliopsida; Lamiales; Lamiaceae. The record is from RNAcentral.
GCUUAAUGGUUCCAAUUCUAAGCUUGUGGAAGAUUGAGAGAUGCAUCAAGUUUAUGCUUGCUCCUAAGUCACACAAAGCCAUCCCAAAACGACCAUUGCCAAUAUUACACGGGAUAGUAAAGCUUCCAAGGUCAUCGAUCUUGUUGGCUAGCAUCUUUUGAAGAAUGAAACUACAUUCUUCGGUGAGGUUGACCAUCUCAAAUUCUUCCAAUUUCUUCUUCUUUGAUAUGACAUCCUUUAGAAAUUUUGCAUACUUAGGCAUUUGUUGCAAAGCUUCAACAAGGGGGAUGUUGAUGUGCACCUUCUGGA